AUAUCCAUCUCUGAGUCUGUCACUGGGAGAAUGGGAUGCUUUUUUGGACCAGGCCUGACUUACAUACCCAUCUGGGACAAUAGGACUUUCUAUGGGGACAACUUCAUCUGUACAUGGACAGAGACUGAAGAAUGGAGUACUCCAGCACUUUCACAGUCAUUUACGGCAUCUGCAGAGCAGUGAAAAAUUUGAAUUGCCUGAGAUACAUGCUCCCUGCUGAAGUCGCACAAGCUGGCCAAUCCUGCUAAUCCUUUAAAACUCACCUGGAGGGAAGGCCUCCUUCUGCAAAGCCUCUCUUGAUGCAGAUUAUCAGCUUUCACUCUCUACCAGAUGGCAAGGAUAUUGCUGUUGGCUCAUAGGAUGUGAACAGUGGUGUUGAGAUUACCCUCAUUUGGCUGAUGAUGUCAUUGAGGCCCAGAGAAGGUAGGACACCUGGCAGGGCCUGGCUUUGGGGCUAACUUCUGCAGCUCUUUUGAUUGCCCCCACCUUACAGUUUUUGGCACAGAGCACUGUGUAGCUGGCACUUCUCUACUGGCCCGAAUGAGAAAACUUCCUCAGAGCAAAAUGUCAAGCACCAAAUAAGAUUCAUGUUUACUGUGAAGUGAUUGCUGCUUUUUAAAUGCUUAUCAGAAGCCGAAGGACAAACUCAGUAGGUUGAUUCAUGCUGAGCUCGACUACCUCCGUGAGAAAUGACUCUCCUGUAGGGCUCGAUGACCUUCAUGUCAAUGCGCUGCUCUUGUUCUCCA
RNAcentral lists this long non-coding RNA (746 nucleotides) under Homo sapiens (human). Its description in RNAcentral is "HSALNT0352891". The record is from RNAcentral. Lineage: Eukaryota; Metazoa; Chordata; Mammalia; Primates; Hominidae.